This 412-nucleotide ribosomal RNA is filed under the name uncultured bacterium. RNAcentral describes it as "bacterial SSU rRNA". It matches the Rfam family "Bacterial small subunit ribosomal RNA", at positions 68 to 514 of the family's 1533-position model. The record is from RNAcentral.
GGAGAAUUGCUAGCUUGCUAAUAAUUCUCUAGUGGCGCACGGGUGAGUAACACGUGAGUACCUGCCCCCGAGAGCGGGAUAGCCCUGGGAAACUGGGAUUAAUACCGCAUAGUGAAAUAAAGCAGCAAUGCGCUUGGGGAUGGGCUCGCGGCCUAUUAGUUAGUUGGUGAGGUAACGGCUCACCAAGGCGAUGACGGGUAGCCGGUCUGAGAGGAUGUCCGGCCACACUGGAACUGAGACACGGUCCAGACACCUACGGGUGGCAGCAGUCGAGAAUCAUUCACAAUGGGGGAAACCCUGAUGGUGCGACGCCGCGUGGGGGAUAAGGUCUUCGGAUUGUAAACCCCUGUCAUGUGGGACAUUAAAAAGAUAGUACCACAAGAGGAAGAGACGGCUAACUCUGUGCCAGCAG